UACCAGCUCUCCGAGUGGUGUGGAUGUUUAUUUGGCCUAAAGCAUCCGUAGCUGGCUGGGCAAGUCCCCUGUUAAAUCCACCGAUUUAAUCGUUGGAAUGCGGGGGAUACUGUUCGGCUAGGGGACGGGAGAGGCAGACGGUAUUUUCGGGGUAGGGGUGAAAUCCUAUAAUCCCGGGAAGACCACCAGUGGCGAAGGCUGUCUGCUAGAACGCGCCCGACGGUGAGGGAUGAAAGCUGGGGGAGCGAACCGGAUUAGAUACCCGGGUAGUCCCAGCUGUAAACGAUGCAGGCUGGGUGUUUGGACGGCCACGUGCCGUUCUAGUGCCGCAGGGAAGCCGUUAAGCCUGCCGCCUGGGGAGUACGGCCGCAAGGCUGAAACUUAAAGGAAUUGGCGGGGGAGCACCACAAGGGGUGAAGCUUGCGGUUU
RNAcentral lists this ribosomal RNA (429 nucleotides) under uncultured archaeon. RNAcentral's name for it is "bacterial SSU rRNA". It matches the Rfam family "Archaeal small subunit ribosomal RNA", at positions 474 to 903 of the family's 1478-position model. The record is from RNAcentral.